AACACUGUUAACCUGCGGUACCUGCGGAGGGAUCAUUAAUAUUCGAACUUGGCUUCGGCCAAGGGAGUUUAACCUUUUGUGAAAUCAAAAAUCUUUUUCGCUUCGGCAGCAGGGUGGUUUAUUCAACCUGUAAGCCUGCCGGCAGCACCUUCAAAAAACUUUUGAUUACCAAAAAGAUGUCAUAACUAAAAUUUUCGAAUGAAAAUUAAAACUUUCAGCAAUGGAUCUCAGAUCGGAAGA
RNAcentral lists this unclassified non-coding RNA (240 nucleotides) under soil metagenome. RNAcentral describes it as "partial contains 5.8S ribosomal RNA, internal transcribed spacer 2, and large subunit ribosomal RNA". The record is from RNAcentral.